This 490-nucleotide ribosomal RNA is filed under the name uncultured cyanobacterium. RNAcentral's name for it is "bacterial SSU rRNA". It matches the Rfam family "Bacterial small subunit ribosomal RNA", at positions 355 to 867 of the family's 1533-position model. The record is from RNAcentral. Lineage: Bacteria; Bacillati; Cyanobacteriota.
UGGGGAAUUUUCCACAAUGGGCGGAAGCCUGAUGGAGCAAUACCGCGUGGGUGAUGACGGUUCGUGGACUGUAAAGCCCUUUUCUUAAGGAAGAGUAAAUGACGGUACUUAAGGAAUAAGCACCGGCUAACUCUGUGCCAGCAGCCGCGGUAAUACAGGGGGUGCAAGCGUUGUCCGGAAUGAUUGGGCGUAAAGCAUCUGUAGGUGGUUCUUAAAGUCAACUGUUAAAUCCCAGAGCUCAACUUUGGACAAGCAGUUGAGUACUUAGGGACUUGAGUACGGUAGGGGUAGAGGGAAUUCCUAGUGAAGCGGUGAAAUGCACAGAGAUUAGGAAGAACACCAGUGGCGAAAGCGCUCUACUGGGCCGUGACUGACACUGAGAGAUGAAAGUUAGGGGAGCGAAAAGGAUUAGAUACCCUUGUAGUCCUAACCGUAACGAUGGAUACUAAAUGCUGUCAAAAACAGUAGUUGAAGCUAACGCGUUAAGUAU